This 253-nucleotide ribosomal RNA is filed under the name uncultured bacterium. RNAcentral's name for it is "partial 16S ribosomal RNA". It matches the Rfam family "Bacterial small subunit ribosomal RNA", at positions 524 to 776 of the family's 1533-position model. The record is from RNAcentral.
UACAGAGGGUGCGAGCGUUGUCCGGAAUCACUGGGCGUAAAGGGCGCGUAGGCGGCCUGGUAAGCGUGUGGUGAAAGCCCGGGGCUCAACCCCGGGUCUGCCGUGCGAACUGCCGGGCUCGAGCACAGUAGAGGCGGGUGGAAGUCCGGGUGUAGCGGUGGAAUGCGUAGAGAUCCGGAAGAACACCGGUGGCGAAGGCGGCCCGCUGGGCUGUUGCUGACGCUGAGGCGCGACAGCGUGGGGAGCAAACAGG